RNAcentral lists this unclassified non-coding RNA (1742 nucleotides) under Gigantopelta aegis. RNAcentral's name for it is "hyaluronidase A-like, transcript variant X3". Lineage: Eukaryota; Metazoa; Mollusca; Gastropoda; Neomphalida; Peltospiridae. The record is from RNAcentral.
UUUCUUGGCUGUCGAUGUUUUGAUUCGAUGUUUUGUUUUUUGCUUGACUUCAAAGCUAUUUUCUGAAACACCAGGUAGACUAGCAGUAGUGCUUAGUUCCACAGCUAUAGUUUCGACAGAUUUUGUCAAUAUUUAUUAUUAUGUAAAUAAUAAUUCUAAUAUUUAUUUAAUAUUGUUGUACUUUUAUCAUGAGAUUUCUACUGUUGUUACUUUGUGUCGGGCUCGGCUCGUCAAGUCAAAACUCGGAGAAUUCCGAUGGCUGUACCGCCCCGUUUUUAAUAGCAGACAAACCGUUCGUGGUUGUAUGGAACGUGCCGUCAUUCGUGUGUCGUAAUGUGGAGUUCAAUUUGACGGAGUGGGGGAUCGUGACGAACAAAGACGACCGCUUUAUGGGCGGUGAGAUUACACUUUUCUACCAUCUAGGGGACUGGCCCUACUUUUAUAAGAAUGGAUCGGCCCACAAUGGCGGGAUUCCGCAGGUUGCGAACAGAAAAAGACACUACGAGAACGUUGUCAGUCGAAUCCGUGAGGUCAUCCCUAAUAAACAUUUCGACGGUCUUGCCGUCAUCGAUUUUGAAGCAUGGCGGCCACUGUUCGGUCAAAACUUCGACGCGCUGUUCAUCUACAAGCAGCGAUCGGUAGAUCUGGUUAAAUCCAGGUUCCCAUCUUGGACGAACAAGACUCAAAUUUGGAACGAAGCCGCGAGGGAGUUUGAGAAUGCCGCUAGAUUGUUCAUGGAAGGGACAUUACAACUGUCAAGAUAUCUGCGACCGGAUGGUAAAUGGGGUUACUAUGGUUUCCCGAGGUGUUACGGAGCUUCGCCGAGUCAUCUGACGUGUAACAACCCUUCCACGUCGAAGGCUAAUGACAAAAUUGGUUGGUUGUUCAAAACAAGUGCCGGUCUUUUCCCUCGCAUCUACACAAACCCGACUAUACCCCGCAAACCACGGGUCGAAUAUGUCCGACGGCAGAUCAACGAAACCCUCCGAGUACAGGCGAAAUUUAACGAACUCUACCGACCCAUAAUGCCUUACAGCAUGUGCCAGGUUAAGAAGGUUUUCUUCGAUGAGCAAGAUCUCGAUAUUUCCAUCAAAGAACCGGCGGACAUGGGGGCGUCCGGGGUCGUUUUGUGGGGCAGUUCUUCCCUGUUUCACCUCAAAGACGAAUGCCACAAACUUCAGACGUAUAUCAAGACCGUACUCGGUCCGUUUGUCGUGAAAUUGACGGCUUUUACGACAUCGUGCUACAGAGAACACUGCAGUGGUCACGGUCGGUGCGUACGUAAAGAUUACGAAGCCAUGACGCAGCAGCAUUUGAGGCAAAACAACAAAAUCGCUUGCAGGAAGCCAUGGACGGAAUAUGCCGAUGAUGUACGAAUGAAGUGGACGGAAUAUGCCGAUGCUGCACAAAAGGUGCCGACGAAAAAUACCGAAUUCACACGUACAAACUUUACGAGCUUCGAUGAUCUUUCACGAAAGGACUCGAUAAAGUUCGUGAAUACGUUUGAGCAGAAGACGGAUGGAUUUGCAAACAGAAAAGAAGCUCCGUAUGGUAAUUACGUCUGCCACUGUUUGCCUGGGUGGCGCGGGCCGCGUUGUUCUAAACCGGUGUAGAUCAGCAUGGAUUUCUCUAGCUGUGUGCCACAUCAUAAUAUAUUAUGCAUGAUACUAAGUCAAGCUUGAGGAUUUGCCUUUUUUUUCGCAGAAGUAUGGUCAUUGAAUUGAUUACAACAAUCCCACAUA